Molecule: ribosomal RNA, 433 nt
Filed under: uncultured bacterium
Lineage: Bacteria
Description: bacterial SSU rRNA
Rfam family: Bacterial small subunit ribosomal RNA
Source: RNAcentral
AGAAGCACCGGCUAACUCCGGGCCAGCAGCCGCGGUAAUACGGAGGGUGCGAGCGUUAAUCGGAAUUACUGGGCGUAAAGCGCACGCAGGCGGUCUGUUAAGCUAGAUGUGAAAGCCCCGCGCUCAACGUGGGAGGGUCAUUUAGAACUGGCAGACUAGAGUCUUGGAGAGGGGAGUGGAAUUCCAGGUGUAGCGGUGAAAUGCGUAGAGAUCUGGAGGAACAUCAAUGGCGAAGGCAACUCCCUGGCCAAAGACUGACGCUCAUGUGCGAAAGUGUGGGUAGCGAACAGGAUUAGAUACCCUGGUAGUCCACACCGUAAACGCUGUCUACUAGCUGUUUGUGGAUUUAAUCCGUGAGUAGCGAAGCUAACGCGAUAAGUAGACCGCCUGGGGAGUACGGCCGCAAGGUUAAAACUCAAAUGAAUUGACGGGG